Molecule: ribosomal RNA, 448 nt
Filed under: uncultured bacterium
Lineage: Bacteria
Description: bacterial SSU rRNA
Rfam family: Bacterial small subunit ribosomal RNA
Source: RNAcentral
AUUGAACGCUGGCGGCAUGCCUAACACAUGCAAGUCGAACGAAGCCUUCGGGCUUAGUGGCGCACGGGUGCGUAACACGUGGGAAUCUGCCCUUCGGUUCGGAAUAACAGUUAGAAAUGACUGCUAAUACCGGAUGAUGACGUAAGUCCAAAGAUUUAUCGCCGAAGGAUGAGCCCGCGUAGGAUUAGGUAGUUGGUAGGGUAAUGGCCUACCAAGCCGACGAUCCUUAGCUGGUCUGAGAGGAUGAUCAGCCACACUGGGACUGAGACACGGUCCAGACUCCUACGGGAGGCAGCAGUGGGGAAUCUUAGACAAUGGGCGCAAGCCUGAUCUAGCCAUGCCGCGUGGACGAUGAAGGCCUUAGGGUUGUAAAGUCCUUUCAGCUGGGAAGAUAAUGACGGUACCAGCAGAAGAAGCCCCCGGCUAACUCCGUGCCAGCAGCCGCGGU